GACGAACGCUGGCGGCGUGCUUAACACAUGCAAGUCGUGCGGUAAGGCCCUUUCGGGGGUACACGAGCGGCGAACGGGUGAGUAACACGUGAGCAACCUGCCCUUCACUUUGGGAUAACUGCCGGAAACGGUGGCUAAUACCGGAUAUGACUUCCUCACGCAUGUGGGGUGGUGGAAAGCCUUCGGGUGGUGGGGGAUGGGCUCGCGGCCUAUCAGCUUGUUGGUGGGGGGAUGGCCUACCAAGGCUCCGACGGGUAGCCGGCCUGGGAGGGUGACCGGCCACACUGGGACUGAGACACGGCCCAGACUCCUACGGGAGGCAGCAGUGGGGAAUAUUGGACAAUGGGCGAAAGCCUGAUCCAGCAACGCCGCGUGAGGGAUGACGGCCUUCGGGUUGUAAACCUCUUUCGCCUGCGACGAAGCGAGAGUGACGGUAGCAGGUAAAGAAGCACCGGCCAACUACGUG
RNAcentral lists this ribosomal RNA (466 nucleotides) under uncultured bacterium. RNAcentral's name for it is "partial 16S ribosomal RNA". It matches the Rfam family "Bacterial small subunit ribosomal RNA", at positions 28 to 507 of the family's 1533-position model. The record is from RNAcentral.